Molecule: non-coding RNA, 2044 nt
Organism: Ictidomys tridecemlineatus (thirteen-lined ground squirrel)
Lineage: Eukaryota; Metazoa; Chordata; Mammalia; Rodentia; Sciuridae
Source: RefSeq, a predicted model, not a curated record
CUUCUCCCCUCUCUUCCCCGCUCCCCGACAGCUGUUACCAUGGAGCCCAAUUGGGUCUUGUGGAAGUAACCAUCCCGAAUCCUUAGGCCCUUCUUCAAAGGACACACGGGCUCAAACGCGACGUCUCAGCUGGACGGCUCUGCAGUGAGGGACUCCACGCUGGGCUGCGAUCACUGCCCCUCACAGCUCGCGGCUCCUGGCCAGGGCCCUCCACUCCAUCUGAUCCAUACGGUAUUUUAAGGCGACUCUGGCAAAUACGGUGAAUUCCAAAAGAUGAUUGUGAUUCUGUAACUUGGCUUGGGUUUGCUGAAGGAAAUCCAGGAUGGAUGGCCAGGGCACUAAUGACAGUCACCCCAGAUCAGCCAAGAUAGCACGCCCACAAAAUCUGCAGAACAACUUUGCAAGGGACCCGCAGCAUGCAGUAUCAGGCAGUGAACCCUGAGGAUGAAAGGCAACCAGGUGGGCCCAGAGUCUGCUCCAAGGAGCCAUCUUGAGUGUCUCCAAUCCAUGCAAAGGGAGGGGCCAGGUGCAGCUGAGAGGGCAAAACAUGGUUGGUUCAGUUGGGGAAUAAUUAUCUCUAGACUAAAGUUUUACUUGAUUACACCUAAAAAGAUAUUAAAAUCAGUCUCCAGAAGAAUCAAAUGCAUUUUAAAUAAUUCAAUUGCAUCUACAAAAGAGCCCAAAAAUAUCUAUAGGAAUACCAAAAUAUGCAACAGAACAAUAAAAAACAAAGUGAAAAUCACAAGGAUUGACAUGCACUCAAAGAUCACUAGACAUCAGAGUAGUGAAUACCAUCCAGGACCUGCUUUGGGGAUCUUUUAUUCUAUGGGUUGGACAAAGGUAUAACGCAUGUCCACCAUUACACCUAUGUUUCCUGCCCUACCAGUCCUCAGUGCUUGGCCUGUUCAUCUCUCCCUGACCCUCAUCCCUGGCAGCAAACUCUCUUUACUGUCCCCAUGGCUUUAUCUUCUACAAUGUCACCUUUUCAGAUUGGCUUCUUUCACUCAGUGGUGUACAUUUGAGGUUCUUCUAAGUCUUUUCAUGACUUGACAGCUCAUUCCUUUUUAGCAGUAAUAAUAUUCCAUUGCAUGAUGCUUGUAUGCUUUUAAGAAGUAUGGCAUACACGAAAGAGAGAUGGAAUUAAAAGGUAGCCAAAGCCUGGAAAUGCAAAAGACCAAAUUGAGCCCAAACCAUAACCUAGGAGAAAAAAUUCAAGUAGAGGAGAACUUCUAAGAAUUUCAUUUGGAAAAACAAGUAUCAAAGAUAAGAAAAAUACAACUACUGAGAUGAAAGAAUAAAAAAUAAGGAAACAAGCAAGAUCAAAACAAUAUGAUCACAGAACUAGUCAAUAAUUAAAAAGAACAUAAAACAGAGUUAAUGCAGCCCACGGUUGAAUUAUUAAAAAAUAGGAUCAGUUGGGGACGGUCACAGGGCACACAGAGGAGAGGCUGAGUGUGUUGGAGACUGCAGAGGUCCAGUUGGCUGGAUUCACAGGGCAGGUGAUGUACACUAAGGAAAAUGAACAUCACUUAAUAAGGACCCCAAAAAAUGACCGCCCAGACAUCGUUACCUAAAGUCCCGGACAGUGUUAAUUCCUAGCCAUUCGGUGUUGUUUCAAGGAUGAAGACAUUUUCUGGCCUGAGGGGCAAGUGGGGAGGCCUGGAGGAGCUGGGCUCUGGGGCAGUGCUGGGAGCCAGCUGGGCAGAGAGAGCAGGUGUCCCUGCACCGCGCCACCGCUCACCUGCAGCGGCCACCUAAAGCCAGGGCAGGUGGCAGGAUGGGCACCUUGUCCUGGGGGCUGCCUGGGUGGCUCAGCAGGUAGCUGGAGCUUGUGUCCCGGACCCGAGGUGGUACCCAGCCUGCUGCAGGCUGCCCAGGUUCAGUAAUUCGUGAGGCAAAGGAAAGCCAAGACUUUUCUUAAUCUUCUUUCAUUUGGGAUUGUAGUUUUACGUGAUCGGAGCCAUUAACUUGUUAAUUCAUUUAUCAUGACCCAGGAGAGCAGGUACUUAACAUGACCUCUUCCCCCUGCACCUGGGAAAACCUG